AUUGAACGCUGGCGGCAUGCCUUACACAUGCAAGUCGAACGGUAACAGAUUAAGCUGAUGCUUGGCCGACGGGCGAGUAAUGUAUCGGUACGUGCCACGUCGUGGGCUAUAUUUUCGUGGAAGAUCAGCUAAUACCGCAUACGCUCUUAGCGCGAAAGCCCUGCAUGGCAAGACCUCGCGUCUUUGGACCUUCCGAUAUCGAAUUAGCCGAUUUGUGAUUAGCUAGUUGGCGGGGUAAAGGCCCACUAAGUCGACUGUCCGUAGCUGGUCUGAGAGGAGGAUCAGCCACACUGGAACUGAGACACGGCCCAGACUCCUACGGGAGGCAGCAGUGGGGAAUAUUGGACAAUGGGCGCAAGCCUGAUCCAGCCAUACCGCGUGGGGGAAGAAGGCCUUCGGGUUGUAAAGCGCUUUUGUUAGGGAAGAAAAGGAGCAGGCUAAUACCUGGGAGUCAUGACGGUACCUAAAGAAUAAGCACCGGCUAACUACGUG
Molecule: ribosomal RNA, 492 nt
Filed under: uncultured bacterium
Lineage: Bacteria
Description: partial 16S ribosomal RNA
Rfam family: Bacterial small subunit ribosomal RNA
Source: RNAcentral